GACGAACGCUGGCGGUGUGCUUAACUCAUGCAAGUCGAACGGUAAGGCCCUUUCGGGGGUACCCGAGUGGCGAACGGGUGAGUAACACGUGAGUAACCUGCCCUCAUCUCUGGGAUAACAGUCGGAAACGGUUGCUAAUACUGGAUAUGAGCUUGCAAGGCAUCUUGUGGGUUGGAAAGAUUUUUUUGGUUGGGGAUGGACUCGCGGCCUAUCAGCUUGUUGGUGAGGUAGUGGCUCACCAAGGCUUCGACGGGUAGCCGGCCUGAGAGGGCGACCGGCCACAGUGGGACUGAGAUACGGCCCAAACUCCUACGGGAGGCAGCAGUGGGGAAUAUUGCACAAUGGACGGAAGUCUGAUGCAGCAACGCCGCGGGCGGGAUGACGGCCUUCGGGUUGUAAACCGCUUUCAAUUGUGACGAAGCUUUUUGUGACGGUAGCAGUAGAAGAAGCACCGGCUAACUACGUG
This 466-nucleotide ribosomal RNA is filed under the name uncultured bacterium. Its description in RNAcentral is "partial 16S ribosomal RNA". It matches the Rfam family "Bacterial small subunit ribosomal RNA", at positions 28 to 507 of the family's 1533-position model. The record is from RNAcentral.